Long non-coding RNA from Felis catus (domestic cat), 509 nucleotides. RefSeq lists it as uncharacterized. The transcript is spliced from 4 exons. The record is from RefSeq and is a predicted model, not a curated record. Lineage: Eukaryota; Metazoa; Chordata; Mammalia; Carnivora; Felidae.
CCUUAUUGGCGAGCGGGCCCUGGCGUGCCAUCCCUGAGCUGGCCUUCCGCACAGACUUCCACGCCGGCGCGCAGCAGUUCAGCAGCAGCCUCGCCUGCUGCAUGGCCGCCGGACCUUAAAGGGCUCUGCGCCGCUCAGGAUAGAACUUCAAGAUGGACCUCCUUCUCCAAGAAAGUCUGGGUCUACGUGUGUGAUAGCUCACAAGAGGGCAAAUGCUUUGAGAUUGCCCAUGGAAGUGAAGCCUGUGGUCCUCGCAGAGUCACCAGAGACAGAGACAGAGUGCCAGUGCAGGAGGAGAAGAGAGAGAGGGAGACAGAGAAUCCGAAACAGGCUCCAGGCUGUCGGCGCAGAGUCCGACACGGGACUCGAACCCACCAACCAUGAGAUCAUGACCUGAGCAGAAGUCAGUUGCCCAAUGGACUGAGCCCCCACAUGUGGCUAUUUUGAAGAAAGAGAGAGCAUGUGCACACGAGCAGGGGAGGAGCAGAGAGAGAGGGAGAGAGAGGAUC